Long non-coding RNA from Oncorhynchus tshawytscha (Chinook salmon), 1028 nucleotides. The record is from Ensembl. Lineage: Eukaryota; Metazoa; Chordata; Actinopteri; Salmoniformes; Salmonidae.
GGCUGAUGGUCUCUUUAUGUGGGGAGAGGAGGGAGAGGGGUGGCUGAUGGUCUCUUUAUGUGGGGAGAGGAGAGGGUGGCUGAUGGUCUCUUUAUGAGGGGAGAGGAGAGGAGAGGGUGGCUGAUGGUCUCUUUAUGUGGGGAGAGGAGAGGGUGGCUGAUGGUCUCUUUCUGUGGGGAGGGGAGAGGGUGGCUGAUGGUCUCCAUGAGAGGAGAGGGUGUCUGGAACUAAGAGAAUGUUGCUCAGUAGUCAUUCUCAUAUUCCUGUUCCUGUCCUCCUUGAGUUAGAACCAGAACAGAGGAGACAGACAGAGACACAGAGAAACACCUUACGUCAGUACAGAUACCAGACCACAUAACACCAACGUGGACCCACUAGUGGUUGUGCUAGUCAGUAUCUCUGACUCAGACUGCUGUGUUAUGGCAGCUGCUCAUCAGAGCUCUGAAAGCAGACAGGCACAAACAUAGUGCUGUCAUCUUUAUUUCUCUUUCUUAAUGUAAGAAAAUGUGAUAAAGAUGUACAACAGUGAAAUGAGAGUCACACAGGAUACAUGGUUGUACAUCCAGUGUACUUACAGUAACUCAGACAGCGAAUGGGUCCGGGUCAGACAUGUACAAGUUACAGUGUAGUAACUCAGACAGCGAAUGGGUCCGGGUCAGACAUGUACAAGUUACAGUGUAGUAACUCAGACAUGCACAAGUUGUGGUGAAACAUUCUAGGUCAAAGUGCACCACACAUCGCUGUGAGAGGCACUCCCAUCUUAAAGUGAUUCAACCACAUGUGUAACCACAUCUGUGGGAAUGAACCAAUUGUUCAAUGUCAAAUAAUACCCUGCCUGAAUUCAAUCCAAACAGCUAUAGCAUAAUGGUCUUCGUGUUAAUAUCCUUUUAGGUUAGCAGUAAAGUAAUAACCAGUCAAAAGAAAGCAGGCCCACUAAGGGGGCUCUCAAGUGGUCUAAGGCACUGCAUCUCAGUGCAAGAGGCGUCACUACAGUCCCUGGUUCGAAUCCAGGCUGUGUCACAUCUGGG